RNAcentral lists this ribosomal RNA (253 nucleotides) under uncultured bacterium. RNAcentral describes it as "partial 16S ribosomal RNA". It matches the Rfam family "Bacterial small subunit ribosomal RNA", at positions 524 to 776 of the family's 1533-position model. The record is from RNAcentral.
GACGAAGGGGGCUAGCGUUGCUCGGAAUCACUGGGCGUAAAGCGCACGUAGGCGGAUCUUUAAGUCAGGGGUGAAAUCCCAAGGCUCAACCUUGGAACUGCCUUUGAUACUGGGGAUCUCGAGUCCGGAAGAGGUUGGUGGAACUGCGAGUGUAGAGGUGAAAUUCGUAGAUAUUCGGAAGAACACCAGUGGCGAAGGCGGCUCACUGGACUGGUAUUGACGCUGAGGUGCGAAAGCGUGGGGAGCAAACAGG